RNAcentral lists this ribosomal RNA (577 nucleotides) under uncultured bacterium. RNAcentral describes it as "bacterial SSU rRNA". It matches the Rfam family "Bacterial small subunit ribosomal RNA", at positions 35 to 605 of the family's 1533-position model. The record is from RNAcentral.
GCUGGCGGCAUGCCUUACACAUGCAAGUCGAACGGCAGCACGGGUGCUUGCACCUGGUGGCGAGUGGCGAACGGGUGAGUAGUACAUCGGAACGUGUCCUGUAGUGGGGGAUAGCCCGGCGAAAGCCGGAUUAAUACCGCAUACGAUCUACGGAUGAAAGCGGGGGAUCUUCGGACCUCGCGCUAUAGGGGCGGCCGAUGGCGGAUUAGCUAGUUGGUGAGGUAAAGGCUCACCAAGGCGACGAUCCGUAGCUGGUCUGAGAGGACGACCAGCCACACUGGGACUGAGACACGGCCCAGACUCCUACGGGAGGCAGCAGUGGGGAAUUUUGGACAAUGGGCGAAAGCCUGAUCCAGCAAUGCCGCGUGUGUGAAGAAGGCCUUCGGGUUGUAAAGCACUUUUGUCCGGAAAGAAAUCCUUGGUCCUAAUAUGGCCGGGGGAUGACGGUACCGGAAGAAUAAGCACCGGCUAACUACGUGCCAGCAGCCGCGGUAAUACGUAGGGUGCAAGCGUNAAUCGGAAUUACUGGGCGUAAAGCGUGCGCAGGCGGUGAUGUAAGACCGAUGUGAAAUCCCCG